UAAGUCGUAACAAGGUCUCCGUAGGUGAACCUUGCGGAGGGAUCAUUACCGAGAGAGGGCGCCCGCGCGCCCGACCUCCCAACCCUCUGUCGACCGUUACCGCGUUGCCUCGGGGCCGCCCUCGCGGGCGCCCCAGAGGACACCAAUCGAAACUCUGCAUCUCAUGCGUCGGAGUCAUUAUGGUGAAUCAAUCAAAAACUUUCAACAACGGAUCUCUUGGUGUUCUGGCAUCGAUGAAGAACGCAGCGAAAUGCGAUAAGUAAUGUGAAUUGCAGAAUUCAGUGAAUCAUCGAAUCUUUGAACGCACAUUGCGCCCUUUGGCAUUCCGAAGGGGGCAUGCCCGUUCGAGCGUCCAUUACACCACUCAGAGCCUGGCUUCGGUAUUGGGCGUCGGGACUGCACCCGCGCCUCUAUGUGUUGUUCGGGCUGGACGGUUGGAAUCUCAGCGUUGUGUUUCAAUCAAUCCGCUGUGCGAGACCUGACGACUGGACGCGCCGUGAAAAUCUCAUCCACAGGGUUGACCUCGGAUCGGGUAGGGAUACCCGCUAAGAACUUAA
RNAcentral lists this ribosomal RNA (557 nucleotides) under uncultured fungus. RNAcentral's name for it is "eukaryotic LSU rRNA". The stretch from base 197 to 354 matches the Rfam family "5.8S ribosomal RNA". The record is from RNAcentral. Lineage: Eukaryota; Fungi.